RNAcentral lists this ribosomal RNA (440 nucleotides) under uncultured bacterium. RNAcentral's name for it is "partial 16S ribosomal RNA". It matches the Rfam family "Bacterial small subunit ribosomal RNA", at positions 338 to 795 of the family's 1533-position model. The record is from RNAcentral.
CCUACGGGAGGCAGCAGUAGGGAAUAUUGCUCAAUGGGGGAAACCCUGAAGCAGCAACGCCGCGUGGAGGAUGAAGGUUUUAGGAUUAUAAACUCCUUUUGUUAGAGAAGAUUAUGACGGUAUCUAACGAAUAAGCACCGGCUAACACCGUGCCAGCAGCCGCGGUAAUACGAAGGUGGCAAGCGUUAUUCGGAAUCUCUGGGCGUAAAGAGUGCGUAGGCGGGGUAAUAAGUCAGAUGUGAAAUCCUGUAGCUUAACUACAGAACUGCAUUUGAAACUGGUACUCUGGAGUGUGGGAGAGGUAGGUGGAAUUCUUGGUGUAGGGGUAAAAUGCGUAGAGAUCGAGAGGAAUACUCAUUGCGAAGGCGACCUGCUGGAACAUUACUGACGCUGAUGCACGAAAGCGUGGGGAGCAAACAGGAUUAGAUACCCCGGUAGUC